GCUGAAGUGCACACGGC
This 17-nucleotide unclassified non-coding RNA is filed under the name synthetic construct. The record is from RNAcentral.